CACAGGGAGCAACUGGGCCCAAGAUGGCCGACUACCCAGAAACUUAUUCGGACCUGUCUGAUGACUUCUCCCAGGGGGAGGACACACACAUACCCCUCGGCCUACCGGUGACAACACCCAAGCCCCAGGACCUCGACAAUGCACCUGUUACUACAGCAGUGCUUAAGACGCUUCUGGCGGGCCUACAGACCACGAUCCAGGCAGAAAUGGCGGGCCUCCGAGCGGACCUCCAGGGCAUAACCGGGAGACUGAGCACCCUGGAACAGACGUCCACUACCGCUACGACCCAAAUUGCCUCCAUGCAACAGGAGAUAAGGGGCCUGCAAAGCAAAACAGAGGCCUUUGAGCGGCGAUUCGCCGCACUGGAGGACACACGCCGAACGGCCAACAUAAAGAUACGGGGCAUACCUGAUAACAUGCCGGCGGAGGAACUACCGCACUUCGUGCGAAGACUUCUUUCGGCGCUACUACCAUCACGUCAAGCAAAAGCAGUAAGUCUGGACGGAGUUUACAGGGUACCUAAAUCAGCCAAAGCCCCAAAAACAGCUACCAGAGAUACCAUAAUCCGCUUCCAGCGCAGGGAUGACAGAGCAGCAACUAUGGCGGCGGCAAGGAAUCAUGCCCAGUACACCUUUGAAUCAAUAUCGCUUACCUUCUUUACAGACUUAACCAGUAGCACUCUGGCCUGGAGGAGGUCGCUCCGGCCGUUCACUACGCUUCUUCAACAGAAAGGCAUAACAUAUAGGUGGCGCCUCAACCGCACCCUGCUAGUACACCAGGGCGAGAACACACACGAAGUAUACGACCUGCAGGGUGCGCAAGACCUACUAGCCACGUUGGGACUGCCUCAAGAUGAAAUGCGCCCCACGGCACACACCGGGACCACCACACCAAAGCACAGGUGGGAUCCUGAUAGGGUGCACACCUUUGUACCUCUACGGCCCAGACAUGGAAUCCCUGUUGACAACCCAGCAUGAAGGACUCGGGGACACGAAAACCAUGCUAAAACUCUGCCCGGGACAGUUGGACCUAAUUCUAACAGAGUUAAUAUUUUUGUUUUUAUUUUUAUUUUUUAGACUCCUCAGUUAUGGUGGUCGUUCUGUUUAAUUUGCUUAUAUGGCAAGCUUUGCCUGUUAUCAUCCAUGUCUGAACUCUUCCCCCAGCAGGACACAAAUAAUGAUGCCAGCCACCUACACACAUUACACAUAGACCUAUGCCACCCAUCAGAUUAAUUAACCUCCGUUCCCCCCCCCCGCCCGCCCUCAUCAGAUAUAAAACAACACAAACCUAUUAACGGCGGACAGGGCUAUCUUACACCCUGCAACCGAACACCCCCAACCUCACAACCAUAUUCACAGCAACAGCGGGGGGAAAAAAUAAAAAAUAAAAUAUUAUAUUAUAUUAUAACCAUACUACUGAACCUAGCCCUCCCAACCCCUGCAACAGCUCACUAAAAACACAGUAGGGCUCACCUAGGGGCACAUGCACUAGAAACGCAAACUAAUCUCUCACACAUCAGGUAUCAACCGGUUGUUGUGAAGUUGAUGUCUCAAGCACAUUUUUAGUACACAUUAGGCACUACACCGAAGUCAUAUUUACCCUGCUUUACCAUGUGUACUUAUUUUCUUUAAUCACUCUACGCAUUACUUGCUUGUUAUACAUUUCAAAUGUAAAAUGUGCAACCUCUUAACUAUGCCAAUGAUUGUCAUGGAAUUGCUCGCAGUCGCUAUCGUGGCGUUGCAAGCGUGUUUUGUAACCACAUGCACAAGUAAAAUAAAGAAUUUAAAAAAAAA
RNAcentral lists this long non-coding RNA (1793 nucleotides) under Pelobates cultripes (western spadefoot toad). Lineage: Eukaryota; Metazoa; Chordata; Amphibia; Anura; Pelobatidae. The record is from RNAcentral.